RNAcentral lists this ribosomal RNA (252 nucleotides) under uncultured bacterium. RNAcentral's name for it is "partial 16S ribosomal RNA". It matches the Rfam family "Bacterial small subunit ribosomal RNA", at positions 524 to 776 of the family's 1533-position model. The record is from RNAcentral.
UACGAAGGGGGCUAGCGUUGCUCGGAAUCACUGGGCGUAAAGCGCACGUAGGCGGCUUCUUAAGUCAGGGGUGAAAUCCUGGAGCUCAACUCCAGAACUGCCUUUGAUACUGAGAGCUUGAGUCCGGGAGAGGUGAGUGGAACUGCGAGUGUAGAGGUGAAAUUCGUAGAUAUUCGCAAGAACACCAGUGGCGAAGGCGGCUCACUGGCCCGGUACUGACGCUGAGACGCGAAAGCGUGGGGAGCAAACGGG